GGCAGGUAGCUCAGUUGGUAGAGCAUGAGAUUCCUAAUCUCAGGGUUGUGGGUUUGAGCCCCACAUUGGGCA
RNAcentral lists this transfer RNA (72 nucleotides) under Podarcis lilfordi (Lilford's wall lizard). RNAcentral's name for it is "tRNA.Arg". The stretch from base 7 to 64 matches the Rfam family "tRNA", at positions 8 to 63 of the family's 71-position model. From Rfam's summary of the family: Transfer RNA (tRNA) molecules are approximately 80 nucleotides in length. Lineage: Eukaryota; Metazoa; Chordata; Lepidosauria; Squamata; Lacertidae. The record is from RNAcentral.